RNAcentral lists this ribosomal RNA (497 nucleotides) under uncultured bacterium. Its description in RNAcentral is "partial 16S ribosomal RNA". It matches the Rfam family "Bacterial small subunit ribosomal RNA", at positions 28 to 507 of the family's 1533-position model. The record is from RNAcentral.
GAUGAACGCUGGCGGCGUGCCUAAUACAUGCAAGUCGAGCGAACGGACGAGAAGCUUGCUUCUCUGAUGUUAGCGGCGGACGGGUGAGUAACACGUGGAUAACCUACCUAUAAUACUGGGAUAACUUCGGGAAACCGGAGCUAAUACCGGAUAAUAUUUUGAACCGCAUGGUUCAAAAGUGAAAGACGGUCUUGCUGUCACUUAUAGAUGGAUCCGCGCUGCAUUAGCUAGUUGGAAAGGUAACGGCUUACCAAGGCAACGAUGCAUAGCCGACCUGAGAGGUUGAACGGCCACCCUGGAUCUUAGACACGGUCCAGACUCCUACGGCAGGCAGCAGUAGGGAAGCUUCCGCAUUGGGCGGAAUACUGACGGAGCAACGCGGCGGGAGUGAUAAAGAUCUUCGAGUCGCAAGACUCAUUAAUUAUGGAAGAACAUAUGUGUAAGUAACUGGGCAUAUCUUGGCAGUACCUACUCAGAAAGCCAGGGAUAACUACGUG